RNAcentral lists this ribosomal RNA (553 nucleotides) under Bacillus subtilis. RNAcentral's name for it is "bacterial SSU rRNA". It matches the Rfam family "Bacterial small subunit ribosomal RNA", at positions 56 to 591 of the family's 1533-position model. The record is from RNAcentral. Lineage: Bacteria; Bacillati; Bacillota; Bacilli; Caryophanales; Bacillaceae.
UGCAAGUCGAGCGGACAGAUGGGAGCUUGCUCCCUGAUGUUAGCGGCGGACGGGUGAGUAACACGUGGGUAACCUGCCUGUAAGACUGGGAUAACUCCGGGAAACCGGGGCUAAUACCGGAUGGUUGUUUGAACCGCAUGGUUCAAACAUAAAAGGUGGCUUCGGCUACCACUUACAGAUGGACCCGCGGCGCAUUAGCUAGUUGGUGAGGUAACGGCUCACCAAGGCAACGAUGCGUAGCCGACCUGAGAGGGUGAUCGGCCACACUGGGACUGAGACACGGCCCAGACUCCUACGGGAGGCAGCAGUAGGGAAUCUUCCGCAAUGGACGAAAGUCUGACGGAGCAACGCCGCGUGAGUGAUGAAGGUUUUCGGAUCGUAAAGCUCUGUUGUUAGGGAAGAACAAGUACCGUUCGAAUAGGGCGGUACCUUGACGGUACCUAACCAGAAAGCCACGGCUAACUACGUGCCAGCAGCCGCGGUAAUACGUAGGUGGCAAGCGUUGUCCGGAAUUAUUGGGCGUAAAGGGCUCGCAGGCGGUUUCUUAAGUCUG